RNAcentral lists this ribosomal RNA (588 nucleotides) under uncultured bacterium. Its description in RNAcentral is "bacterial SSU rRNA". The stretch from base 1 to 515 matches the Rfam family "Bacterial small subunit ribosomal RNA", at positions 338 to 873 of the family's 1533-position model. The record is from RNAcentral.
CCUACGGGAGGCAGCAGUGGGGAAUCUUGCGCAAUGGGCGAAAGCCUGACGCAGCCAUGCCGCGUGGAUGAUGAAGGUCUUAGGAUUGUAAAAUCCUUUCACCGGUGAAGAUAAUGACUGUAGCCGGAGAAGAAGCCCCGGCUAACUUCGUGCCAGCAGCCGCGGUAAUACGAAGGGGGCUAGCGUUGCUCGGAAUUACUGGGCGUAAAGGGAGCGUAGGCGGACAUUUAAGUCAGAGGUGGAAUCCCGGAGCUUAACUUCGGAACUGCCUUUGAUACUGGGUGUCUUGAGUGUGAGAGAGGUAUGUGGAACUCCGAGUGUAGAGGUGAAAUUCGUAGAUAUUCGGAAGAACACCAGUGGCGAAGGCGACAUACUGGCUCAUUACUGACGCUGAGGCUCGAAAGCGUGGGGAGCAAACAGGAUUAGAUACCCUGGUAGUCCACGCCGUAAACGAUGAUUGCUAGUUGUCGGGAAGCUUGCUUCUCGGCGACGCNGCUACGCAUAGACAUACCGCCGUCGGGAGGUACGGUCGCAGAUAACUACAAGAAGUAGUAGCGNGNGAGUAGCGACGACGACGACGAGGAGGAG